UCUCUCCUUGCGUGAGUAAGCAACUCAGACACCGCUUCUUCCCGCUGUCCCCAGCUUCCCCCGCCGGACCCGCGCCCCAGCCAUUCCCGGCAGGUGGAGGACGCUCUCCUUCUCCAGCUGCCCGGUGUGUAUGUGGGAAAAACGCGGGGAACGGGGAACAAGGCGGGGAACACGGAGGCUCUUCCCGGCCGAGUUUCUGUGCGAGGCCGCUCUGCCCUGGAGCGCUGGCCGUGGCGUCGGGACACGGGACCGGGCUGCGGGAGAGAGCGACAGCCCUACACGGGUCCGUCACAGCCCACGGCACACCAAGGGUCAAUCUUCACUUUCCCUUCUCACCGUCGACCGCCCCUCCUUCCGCUGUCCCUUUAAGCCGCCAAGAAAUAAGGUUUUCCAGCCCUAGGAAAAUGUUUUGGCAGAAGGGUUUCACUUCGCAUUUUUCAGAGCACUAUGUAACUUAGCACUCAUUCACUUUCUCGCCCGAGGCGGACAAGGAUUACUACCCUCUUUUCACAAAGGUGUCGGAGGUGAGGCUUGAUAAGACAAGGCUGCAUCUGCACCAGGUCUUUGAGGAGUCCAGUUUGAGGGAUUUCAGCAGUUCCACCGUGGACUUAAGUACUUGAGAACUUGAGCACAAAGUAUUUUGCUUUUGCAGACACGCAGCAGUGCCCUAAUCUGGCAGGACUGACUGGCCAGCAUCUAACCUGGCUAACACAUGGCAUAGGUGUUGUCAGGUAGGCAGGCUUCUAGCUCCGACCUAGCAUGAAGCACAGCAGUGUUGUAAAAUGGAGCAGUAAGCUGUUGCUGUAUUUCUUUAAUUCCAUGACUGGGAGCAUUCACCCAGAUCAUGGGAAAGUUCAGUCCAUCAGAUAUCUGCCGGUGGGUGAAUGAGAUGCGUUUUCCUCUUAAUUGGCAACAGGCUAAUUUUGGUCAUCUCCAGCUUCCUUGUGAAGCUGUGUCAUGCAAGAACUUCCUGAAGCUGAGUAAGGUGGUGAAAGAUGGGAACUAGAGGACAGGGCUAGAAGGACCUCCACAGUGUUCUCUAAGGAUGGUUUCUGGGUUGGACACAUGCAUAAUGAGAACAUGGAAGCAGCCCAGAGCAGAUCUUCUCCCUUCCCUCCCUUGGUCCCAUACAAAGCAUCCCCAAGCCCUCAUUAGGCUGAAACAUUAUUUAGAGAAUAUUGAAUGUUAUUCACUCAUCUGGAAGAGCUAUAACGGAAGAGGAGAGCGCCUCCUGUCCAAAAAUAACCAAUGCUUCCACAGUUAGUGGGUAUGUGUGUGAGAAAAGGGUUUGGUGUAGCAUAGUGAAGAAAAUAGAGCUGACUGUAGCUGUUUUACUUGACAGAAUAAUAUGCUAAAUAAAGGCAUAGCUGACUUUCUCUCUGGAAAGAGCUGGGUAGGGAGAGAAUUUAAAAUAUAACCUGCAUGGGGAUUUCUCUUUUGACAGUCCCUUGGUAUCUGACUGCAGGUCUUUAUGGAUUCAGAAAUCAGGUGUGUGUUUUUCUAGGUGCACUGCACAGAGUGUGUCAUUCAGUCACCUGCUUCCGCUCUACAUGCCUUUCAUCAGCUCAGCCUGUGUGACAGCUGUUCAUCAUGGCUGGGUUGGGACUAUCUUUUGUAAGGAUAAUCAGUGGAUAAGCAAUUGAUCUGGGACAUAUAUGCGGGUGAACCCUAGGAUGCUCCUGCCAUGCUGGGAGUCGAUGGAACAGCUCCCUCACCAAGAGCCUCCCACAAGAAUGGUUUCAGGAAGGCCACCAGCUCCUUUUCUACCUUCUUUACUUGAUAGGUCUUCAUUGCAUCACAGGUUCGACAGUCCAGAGAUUUUUCAGCCAUACUAGUGAGUGAAAUUUUCACAUUUUUCUCCUCCACCAGCAAGAGUAAAUUCAAAUUCAUUCAUAUCUAAAUCCUAUUUCAAAUAAAUUCAAGCAUCUUGAUUCCAGGAAAGUCUGGAUCCUAAAGCUGGGCAGAUUUUAUCUCUCAUUGUAUUAUAUUUAUGUUCCUUUUGUCACUGGACAUUUGCAGCUUGUUAUCUUUUGAUUGCUUUUUUAAAGUGCAUGUGCAAAAAAAAUACUUGCAAAAGCAAGCAUCUUUUUUUAUAAUUUGUUCCAUUUGGCUCCACAUAUUCAGGAAUCAUUUCCAUACUUUUUAAAUAGUUCUCUAAUAAAUAAUGUGUGCAGAUUUGGUCCCAGAAGUGCAGGAGUGGUAACCAUGCCAUUCCCCCUCUGGCUGAUCACUGUUACUCAUCUUUGCUGACUUCAGGCUACCAAACCAUUACCACUGUUUUAUGCCUGACAGCUGUUUCACAGGCAUGACAGCACUGAUGAACUUUAUAAAAAGGUGAGACCUUUAAAAAGGAUUGUACAGAGCUCUGCUUGUGACCCCAGGAGUUACAAUCUUCAGACUGUAACUGCUGCUUCUCCAGUUUGUCAAGGAUUCACUGCUUCCUGAAGGAUUUCUGUCUCAUCUGUGAAAGCUGGCUUCCUGCAACUUAAAAACUUGACUGUCAUUCCUAGGACUCCUUUCCUAUUAUCACUUUGAUCUUUUCCAGGAGCUGUCACAGUGCUCAAUUACCUUGUAAGAUGCUUCCUGAUUUUAAGAGGAAAUCUUCUAUUUGAUUUAAGCAUCCUGGCAACUUAAGGGAGAAACUGAGGAGAAUUGUGACCUGGGAAUAUAAAGAGAAGAGUGCACAAGGGAGACUCCUUUGGAUGGCUGGAAGACGCUCAAGAUCUGAAGGAGAUUGAAACGUCUUUGUCUAUUCAGGUGAAUUUUCAUGGGGUUUAGACAGCAAUUGCACAGCAGCUUUUCCAGCAUGUUUCUGUUGGGGGUGUGGAAAGAGGAGUAAUAAGUGCUUUCUAAAUUUCGAUAAGAGAGUUGCCACUCUGCCAUGAAUAACAAAAAGAGACAGUCUGAGCCCUCCUUUUCAGCUUUACUCCAGGCCCUGCUUACUGACAGUCCCUCUGCGUGUCUCAGCAGUGCUGAGAUAGACAGGCUCUGCUACAGCAUCCACUCUCAGGUACUGCCAAUUCCCAUCAUCCUGUGCUGUGGUUUGAAACCAGGUUAGCAAAAUCAGGUUUUAAAACAGUGAGUACAAUAGGGAAGAUCAGUUCCAGAUGACUCAAAGCCUUCCCACUCUUCCCCUUCCCUUUAUUCUUUCCAACAUCAGUUUUCAACAUAGAAGGAAACAAAAUCUCACAUGCUGGGCUCUGGUUCUUUGAACUUCAGUGCUUCAGUUUUCAAUAAUGAAAAUUUUAAAUAUUUGUCAGGACAAGAGGAUAUAGACUCAAGCUCCACCAGGGAGGUUCAGGUUGGAUAUUCAGGAAGAAUUUUUUCACUGAAAGGGUGUUUGUCCUGGAUUGUCAAGCAAAUUGUAUUCUAUUUGCCAUCUGUAUGGCAGUUGUCUUCUGUUAAGUGGGCAGUUUUCCUUAUCUCUUCUACAACCACUCCUUCCUCUGGGGAGACAUCUGCUUAUAAUAGGCUAUGGAAUGUCACUGCAUGACUGAUAAGAACUAUAACAUCCCAUUGUGAGAUGCUCCAGCACAGAGGGAAGAGCCAAGCAUUCCUACCCAGUUAUAAUCUUGAGAUUCUGGAACACCAGCAGUGCUUCUCCACUGGAUUCCCAGAGGAACAGCUGGCUCUUCCACUGGAUCUUCAGAGGAAGAGUACACCCUUCUACAGGAUCCCUGCUCCAACAGAACCACACCUGACACUCCAGGAGGACUGCAGCCAC
Passer montanus (Eurasian tree sparrow) is the source of this 3724-nucleotide long non-coding RNA. RefSeq lists it as uncharacterized. Lineage: Eukaryota; Metazoa; Chordata; Aves; Passeriformes; Passeridae. The transcript is spliced from 3 exons. The record is from RefSeq and is a predicted model, not a curated record.